AGAUCCGACGAGUUCGCGAAUAUUGGGGUCAGAACUGCAGCAGUUUUAAAGGAGUAUUGUUUUGGAUUUAGCGAUCCACUGUAGAUAAUAUUUUGACGUGAUCAGACUUCUAUUCCUUCUUCCGGAAGUCAAUAUUUUAUAAUGUAAAUGAAAAUCGAUGUUUACUUCUAGAGCCGCAGUAGUCUAGUAGUUUAGAGGUC
Molecule: long non-coding RNA, 200 nt
Organism: Mercurialis annua (annual mercury)
Lineage: Eukaryota; Viridiplantae; Streptophyta; Magnoliopsida; Malpighiales; Euphorbiaceae
Exons: 2
Source: RefSeq, a predicted model, not a curated record